GACGAACGCUGGCGGCGUGCCUAACACAUGCAAGUCGAGCGGAGUCGAUCGACGGAAGCCUUCGGGCGGAAGAUGGUUGACUUAGCGGCGGAUGGGUGAGUAACGCGUGGGCAACCUGCCUCGAAGACCGGGAUAACAGCCCGAAAGGGCUGCUAAUACCGGAUGUGGUCAAGGAUCCGCAUGGAUUUUUGAUUAAAGGGGAAACCCGUUUCGAGAUGGGCCCGCGUCCUAUCAGCUAGUUGGUGAGGUAAAAGCUCACCAAGGCGACGACGGGUAGCCGGCCUGAGAGGGUGACCGGCCACACUGGAACUGAGACACGGUCCAGACUCCUACGGGGGGCAGCAGUGGGGAAUCUUCCACAAUGGGCGAAAGCCUGAUGGAGCGACGCCGCGUGAGCGAAGAAGGCCUUCGGUUGUAAGCUCUGUCUGGAGGGACGAAGGAAGGUGACGGUACCUCCGGAGGAAGCCACGGCGUAACUACGUG
RNAcentral lists this ribosomal RNA (483 nucleotides) under uncultured bacterium. Its description in RNAcentral is "bacterial SSU rRNA". It matches the Rfam family "Bacterial small subunit ribosomal RNA", at positions 28 to 507 of the family's 1533-position model. The record is from RNAcentral.